Molecule: ribosomal RNA, 46 nt
Filed under: Syncephalastrum racemosum
Lineage: Eukaryota; Fungi; Mucoromycota; Mucoromycetes; Mucorales; Syncephalastraceae
Description: partial 5.8S ribosomal RNA
Rfam family: 5.8S ribosomal RNA
About the family: 5.8S ribosomal RNA (5.8S rRNA) is a component of the large subunit of the eukaryotic ribosome. It is transcribed by RNA polymerase I as part of the 45S precursor that also contains 18S and 28S rRNA.
Source: RNAcentral
CAACUUUAAGCAAUGGAUCUCUUGGCUCUCGCAUCGAUGAAGAACG